Chenopodium quinoa (quinoa) is the source of this 989-nucleotide long non-coding RNA. RefSeq lists it as uncharacterized. The transcript has 5 exons. NCBI's taxonomy places the organism in Eukaryota, Viridiplantae, Streptophyta, Magnoliopsida, Caryophyllales, Amaranthaceae. The record is from RefSeq and is a predicted model, not a curated record.
CAUUAUAAACUUACGAGUAACUUCCUUCUCCCAAAAUCAAUUAAUCUACCCUCGUACUUUGAAUUCUCCUCCAUUGAAGCGACUAUCUAAUCUUUUUCCUCCAUUGAAGCUACCUCCAAGCUUUCUUCUAUCCUCCAUUAAAGCAAUUUCUGAGCUUUCCCCUUUAUGAAAUCAGAGUUCAUUGUUUCGUAAGCUUGAAGAUUUGUUAGCAAAUUGCUGGAGUUCUCGCUCGCUCGGCAUUCUGAUCUUUUUCCUCCAUUGAAGCGACUUUGAGCUUUCUCAGUUUCGAUCUCUAACCCCCCAUUGAAGCAACUUCUAGAUUAGUGGCGGGUGGCGGCAGAGGUGGAGGAGGUCUUCAAUUGUUUGCUCAUUAGAGCUUCUUCUAGUCAAACCGAAUGGAGAGAUAUAGUGGAAUCACCAAAUCAAGAGAAAUAGGACUACAAGAUCAAGCAUAAUGAAAUGAGAACAUUAAUAAAAUUAUCAAAAGGGGAGUGAUAUACCAUGAGUUGAGCAUUGGAAGUUUGGAGACGAUGGAAAGAAGUACUUUUGUCAAGGCCACAAGAAACAUGCUUGCAUCAUGUAGCUGUAGAUGUCACUAUUGCUGCUGCUGUUGUUACUGAUGUUUGUUGAUGCUACUGAUGUUUGUUGAUGCUACUGAUGUUUGCUGCUGCUGCUAUUUGUUGGCCUGGUAAUACAUAGUGCUGACUAUUGUUACUCCAAGCUGCUGCUAUCUGCUGUUACUUCUAGCUGCGUGUUGGCCUGCUGCUAUCUGCUGUUACAAUUAGGUGAUGUCUGGGGCUGAUGACUGUUGUUACUACUACCUACUGGCUGCUGCUAUUGGCUUUGGACUUUGAUGGUCUAAUCUAGAGAUCGAAGUUGACUUUCUAUUUGUUUUGUUUAUUAGAUUAUUUAGCCAAGCAAAAAAAAAUUGGUAUUUAUGGAAUUUCUUUUUAAGAAACUAUGAAAUUAUAUCAAUCCUAAUUAUUGUA